Molecule: long non-coding RNA, 2274 nt
Organism: Leopardus geoffroyi (Geoffroy's cat)
Lineage: Eukaryota; Metazoa; Chordata; Mammalia; Carnivora; Felidae
Exons: 4
Source: RefSeq, a predicted model, not a curated record
CAAAGGCAUGAAUGCUUGUUCAGUCUUAAAUGACGAAAGUCUCUAUUUCUCGCAACAUUUUGUGGCAUUAAAAGUAGGGAACUGCUCUUGGAAAUGUUGUUGGGCCUGGUGAUUAUUUCUGGUGCUGUGGGUCGCUGAGCUGGCCUCCGAGCCUAUUGGAAAUGUAAUUGAAUUCCUUUUACACAGCUCUGAAGCUGGAAUCCAGACUGAUUUAGAAAGACAGAGGGAGGGAUUUUACUGAGUAAAAUGUCAUGGGCUAGAGAACUGGCAGCAGGUAUUAAAUGUAAACCUGAUUGGGAGAUGUAUUUGCCGAGUUGUCUGAUCCUAAGAGCUAACCAGACCUGUGAAUCCUGUCUUUUACAACCUGUUUAGCAAAAAUUGAAAUGUCAAAGGGGAAGAUCAAGGAGGAUGGGAACAGCUGUGCAGGUGAAUGGCUGCUUUAAUAUCCUUAAGGUCUUUAAAGGGCAAGGUCCAGUAACCCUCUAAGACCAGGGUGCCAAUCUGAGAAACCUCCUAGGACAGGAAGAAUCAGUGCUUUAAGCCUCUGUCCCUUUUCCUCUGUUAUCUGAACUUCCCUUAAGCUUGCUGUUGGCCUACAAGGCAGCAUAGAGUUGCUGGAGCUCAGUCUUCCAGGGGCAGCCCCGGGGGUCACUGCCAGCUCGGCUGUUGCCUUUUCUGUGUCUGUGUUGCUGUGAUCACUUCCUGUCGUAAGCCAGCCUUUCCCUUCAUUGCCCCCUCAUUUCUGAAGGCAUUGAACUCUUCUCUAAUACGUCUUUUGGGGUGUACUGCAUGCUUGAUACCCCCAAACCCUGGUAAAAAUCUUGGAACACUUUUAGCGAGGUGUGUAUGCUCCUUUUCACCCUGCAACCCACUCCCCCCCCCCCCGGCCCCCCCCCCACUUCGAUAGUUAUGAGCUUAGUUAGUCCUUCCGUCACCUGCAUUUCCUUUAAAAGAGGAAGCAUGUGCACAUUGUACCAGAAGGGGCUAGGAAGUCUGUACCUUCAGGAAACUACAGUUAAAAGCCGGACAGAAAAAGGUGAUCGUUUCCAUUUGCCCCCUGUCUGCCAAGAGCUGCCCUGAGUCCCCACUAGACCAAGCCCAUUAGUGCUUCUGAAAGUGAGCAAUGGACUGCUUGCUACCAGUCAACCCGAGAGGUGGGGCUAAAAUAACUCUAGAGUAUCAGAACAAUUGCUUCAAACCCUUCAAGGGGCAGUCAAGAAACUAGUAACAUGAGUAUAUGAAAACUAGUGAGCAUGGCCCUCAUACUUCAGGGCAUUAAACGUUUCAGUCCUCCUGGCUACAAGCUGCUAAUUGUCGAAGCUAGGGUUGGAUACAUGGGGUUUGUUAGUUAUGCUAGUCUACUUUACAGAUGUUUAGAAUAUUCUAUAAUAAGGAUUUUCCAACUCUGUGAGGUCUGCAAACUAGGAAUAAACUCCAUCACAUAGGAGUUAAGCUCUAUCAGCCAGAACUAGAAAUAUGACUCUUUACCUUCUUUUUGCUUUCACUCAGGAGGCAACUCUGGAAGCCCACACUUCCCUCUUAGCUAAAGCACAGCAUGGCCUGCUGUCCCAUUGCCCAGGAAGCGCAUAGCUAACCACUAUCAGCCACGAUUUGGUCCCAGCUCCUAGAGCUCUGGCUUGCUGAAAAAAUACAGCCCAACCAGAUGGGAACUCCUGCCUGGCACUGGGGCUUCUAAGCCAUCAGGCAUCAUGGCGGAUGUGAAGGGAACCAACUCAGAAGCCUCUCCAGGAAAUCCUUAGUGCCAAAGGUGUUAGAGCAGCUUCAUUUAAACAUGUGAAGGAUCCCCGGCCCCAUCCCUGUCUUCCACAAGGUUGCUUUGUGUCUUACUGAAGCCCCUGGCUGUGCUUUUCUGGAACAGUGGCACAGCAGACAACUCCUUUACCUCAAGGUUCAUUACCUUCUUGAUAUGAUACCUACUUGUUUAGGCCAUGAAAUUUCACUGUGAAUAAGCAAAGAUUUGGCAGGAUGUUCACCACUAGAGCAAGCACCUGAAGGAAACCUUGGCCUCACCUCGGCAUAUGUGACUAUUGCUGUUUCACAGGAGAUCCAUUCUAGAAAUGCCUUUGCUCAUAGCUGAACUGAUUAACAAAACCUUGAAGAAAGCACAAAGUUUUAGUUCAAAAAAUAAUCCAGCUUCUCUGUCAUCAUCCCUUGCCUUCUUAGGCCUAUCCAAACCGUACUGGUAAGAACUUCACAUUCAAAAAACGUUACGGUCAGUGAUUCUUCAUACAUAAAAUUCAAGUGAUUUCCUUG